AUGGUCUUGGCUCUUCAGGAUUUAUAUUCCUAUUCGUUAUCUGGAAAAAAAAGAGCUGCUUUGCUGGGACCGCAUUUCCUAAAGGACGUACAGUUCCACACCCCUCUGACCCAAAGCAUUGUAAUCUGUAAAAAUUGAUGAUCAAGACAGCCCCCGGAUAAUCAUGGAUCAAGGGCUGCUCUACACAAUUGUUGCUGUGGCUGUCUAUGAAGAUGUCAUUAUAGGACACAAAGUCCAUGCAGCUGGCUUCACAAUAAAGUGGAAUUCUUUGCAGAAAACUGAUGAGCUGCCAGCUUCUAGAUCCAAGAUUCUAAAAACUGCCCACAUUCCUUGGCUCAUGGCCCCCUUAACUCUUCAAGGCCAGCGAUGGCCACUAGAGUCCCACAUCACAUGUUUUCACAUAAAAGCAGACAUUUUAAAAGAAACAAAGUUGAGAAAUGGAGUGAGAAAGAAGAGAAGGUAA
Molecule: long non-coding RNA, 463 nt
Filed under: Callithrix jacchus (white-tufted-ear marmoset)
Lineage: Eukaryota; Metazoa; Chordata; Mammalia; Primates; Cebidae
Description: lncRNA (ENSCJAG00000084094.1)
Source: RNAcentral